Molecule: long non-coding RNA, 2049 nt
Organism: Aedes albopictus (Asian tiger mosquito)
Lineage: Eukaryota; Metazoa; Arthropoda; Insecta; Diptera; Culicidae
Exons: 2
Source: RefSeq, a predicted model, not a curated record
CUCAUAUUUUUUUGAACUAUUCGCCCAGCAUACAAGAAGUGCUGCAGAAGAUUUCUUUGCGUAGUAAUUAACUUUGAUUUUUUGCCAAAUAGACGAUUCCCGUCUGACCUAACCCCCCUUUUUUGUAUUUUUCUUUGAAAGACAAUCGGUUUUCAUGAUCAUUGCCGCUUUCAAAUAUUUUUUAUAUGUUUUCCUGAUUUUUAUACAAAUUUUUGAAAAUUCGGAAAAUCUCUCCAAUUUGAAAUAAAAAUCAUCGUGCGAAGUAGUGGAGCUCCACCCCUGGCCUGUGGAGAUAUUUUUUUUUUGAGAUCAGGCUUCCGACCCUGGCGGUCUUUCUGACAUGUUUACAUUUUGAAAUUAAAUCUCCAUCGCUGCUCGCUCAGUCUGCUCUUUUGUGGGCGAAUCGUAUUGCUCCAGUUUUGCUGGAAAUAUUUAUUGUUUUACAUACCUAAUUAAAAAAUAAUUGUGUACAUAUUGAGGCUCUAAAACAAAUAAAACCUUCCAAACAUUGUACAGUAACCCAUGCAACGGAAGUUGAUUUUCGGUUGACACUGGGAAUGUUCCUUCGAAAAGCACCACCUGUUGCAACCGGAAGAGGAGUAACCCAGUUGAAGUCCGCUUGCGUUCCGCUACUGAUUCCCAUUCUAUACUCUUCGAAACGCGUCACGAUGUGCAUCAGCAGCUAAAAACAGUUGCAGCAUAUGAAGGGAAGGCACUCCCAGGAAGCAAGGGAGGAAGGAAGAACACUCUUAUCAGUGCUUGGUUGUGACGGAUCGGAAGAAUACAAUGGAUGAGAUCAGUUCGUAUUUUAUUCUGAAGUAUUUGGCCUUCAUCGGAAUCUUAAACAAUUAUACCAAGAGCUAACUAUUCGUGGAUGCAAGGGGAACAUUGUUCCGGAAAUGCAGAAAUCUAAAUGAGCACCCGGCGAUCAUCCGGAAGAUGACGUAGAAGUUCGAUGAGGACAUCCACGAGUAUCCACCGACCAGGCAGCCGUGGAAGUAGAUGGAGUUGCCGUCACACGACCGUGUCACUAUCAAACUGAUGACGACGUUGGUGGGCAUGCCUCUGUUCGUCAGCUUCCAUAACGCCACCCGACAAUACGGCACGGAGUCGGGCAACCUGCUGACAUGCAUCGUUUCUUUUACAUCGUUAACAGGACAUUGCUGGAGAUUCGGGCCAGUCAGAAAAAGGAUCGGGAACGGAAUUCAAUUAUUAUUAUUUUAAUAAGUAGGUAAAUAAAACUGCUUCUUCCUAUUUUAUUUUUAUAUUUCUAAAGUAAGGGUGCGAGUACACUAUUUGUCCGAUUCAAAAUGUAUGUUCUGUGCAAACACCACCAUCCGAAGUUGGUUCUUCCGACCACUCCUGCUCAACCCUUGAUGGAUCUACCACGUCGCCCACCAUAGUUUUAACUGAAGCUUCGGGUUGCGACGUGGUCUCCCUCGGUUUUACGAUCCGGUCCGGCUUUCCCGGCGGAAUUCCGCCUCAAAAUAAAUCAUAACUGCGAAAUUUUGCGCGUCACUAAACUUCAGAGGAUUUGGUGAACGUUCUCAACUACAAGUUCUGAUUAUAUCUGCGUAUCGUGCGUCACCAAAACACUUCAGAGGACUUGGUGAACCUUCUCAACUACAAGUUCUGAUUAUAUCUGCGUAUCGUGCGUCACCAAACAACUUCAGAGGACUUGGUGAACCUUCUCAACUACAAGUUCUGAUUAUAUUUGCGUAUCGUGCGUCACCAAAACACUUCAGAGGACUUGGUGAACCUUCUCAACUACAAGUUCUGAUUAUAUCUACGUAUCGUGCGUCACCAAACAACUUCAGAGGACUUGGUGAACCUUCUCAACUACAAGUUCUGAUUAUAUCUGCGUAUCGUGCGUCACCAAAACACUUCAGAGGACUUGGUGAACCUUCUCAACUACAAGUUCUGAUUAUAUCUACGUAUCGUGCGUCACCAAACAACUUCAGAGGACUUGGUGAACCUUCUCAACUACAAGUUCUGAUUAUAUCUGCGUAUCGUGCGUCACCAAAACACUUCAGAGGACUUGGUGAACCU